GCACCAGGAUUAUGCACUUCCGUGUCAAUUUCAUGCCAAGUUCCUUUUAUUCUUAAUGCAUAGCCUAGCUAGCUUCAACUCCCCAGAAAAUGAUGACAUUCUGUAAUUGAAGGGGUGAUCAUCAACAUCAACCUAUUGUACCAGCAUGUGCCAUUCGAUGGAAAGGUUCGAAAAGAGUUUGAAUAGAUUACAUGACUACCAGUUACAACUUAGGUCAUGUUUGGUUCUCUUAUGACUGCCUUACCAAGAAACCCUC
RNAcentral lists this long non-coding RNA (256 nucleotides) under Setaria viridis. RNAcentral describes it as "long non-coding RNA (SVIR_LNC001269)". The record is from RNAcentral. Lineage: Eukaryota; Viridiplantae; Streptophyta; Magnoliopsida; Poales; Poaceae.